This 253-nucleotide ribosomal RNA is filed under the name uncultured bacterium. RNAcentral describes it as "partial 16S ribosomal RNA". It matches the Rfam family "Bacterial small subunit ribosomal RNA", at positions 524 to 776 of the family's 1533-position model. The record is from RNAcentral.
UACAGAGGGUGCGAGCGUUAAUCGGAAUUACUGGGCGUAAAGGGCGCGUAGGCGGCCCGUCAAGUCCCGUGUGAAAGCCCCCGGCUCAACCGGGGAACUGCACGGGAAACUAGCAGGCUUGAGUUCGGGAGAGGGAAGCGGAAUUUCGGGUGUAGCGGUGAAAUGCGCAGAUAUCCGAAGGAACACCGGUGGCGAAGGCGGCUUCCUGGACCGACACUGACGCUGAGGCGCGAAAGCUAGGGGAGCAAACGGG